Molecule: long non-coding RNA, 1643 nt
Organism: Cyprinus carpio carpio
Lineage: Eukaryota; Metazoa; Chordata; Actinopteri; Cypriniformes; Cyprinidae
Source: Ensembl
GGGUAAUCCUCAAAGCAAUGGAGGAUUUCCCUUGAGGUAACGUGUCUAUGAAUGUCCGUGGACUAAACAAUGUUAACUCACUUGAAAAGCAUGUAAAAGUUAAGCUAGAUUUCUUUUGGUUGUAUAAGGUGUUGUUGAUUAAUUUCGCCAUGUUUUUAUAAAGUCAACGAUCUGGUUAUGUGUUUUAUAGCCGAUAGAAAGUCUCUCAAGUAUAGCUAGCUAACUUUAAAAUGAUGCCGUCUUUCCAGACAGAGCAUGCGCUGUUUAUCCACAUGAGAUGACUACUCAACACUGUUUUCCUUUGUCAUAAAUGCAGAUGUGGAAUAAACCUGCUGUUACCACAAACCUGACGGUGUCCGAGAGAGUAUAUCAGGCAGAAGACAUUACACAGAGGUUACAUUGGUGCCGUGACUCGUCCAUGACUACGCCGGACCGGGACUGAUGUUUUCUUGCCGCUGCAUCGUUGUGGAACUGCACUUCCUCCAUCAGUGUAUUUGACUGGCAGGUUUAUUUAGUUAUUAACAGCCAUAUUUACUUCAAACUGUCAUUUUGUUUAAGUAAGGGUUCCAGUAUGAGUUUCAGUAAAUUUACUACCUCUGAAAUGACUCCUCUAGGUAUUGGUAGAGGUAGAGGACUACAUAGCACACCUGUCCCAUUCUCACUGGGUGACCGUCUAGGGGGGCAUAGGACAUAUUUUGGUGAGGAUUCUGUCCACAGUCCUUUUAGACAUAGGGAUAUAGUGGCACCCGAAAAUCAGCCUAUGAUUGAGUUACAAUCACCACAGUGCACUAGUACAUCAGUUCCUAAACCUCCCUCUGAUGAUGUGAGACUGGUUGACCAAAUGAGCACCAUUGUGCAGCAGAUAGGGAAGCAGCUAGCUGAUAGCAUUAUGUCACACCUCAACACAUCUAGCCCUACAGCUACUGUGCAUGCAAGUCCUGAAGAAACAUACAAUACAAAAGCACCUUCCCCCAUUAACACGCUAGAUCUAUCCCAAGUCCAGUUGAUCACUCGGAGAGAAGUCAAAGACCCACCCGUUUUCCGAGGAGAGAGUUCAGAUGCACUGGCUGUCGAUGAAUGGGAGGAAUUAAUGAAGAAUUACGUAAGAAAAAGCAAUGUUCAGCUGGAAAAUCAAGCUGAGGAAAUUAUUGUCCACCUGAGAGGCAGAGCAAAGGAUGUUGUGAGAUUUGGGAUAAGAAAUGGUGAAAUUGAUGUCCAUAAUAACCCACAGGCCAUCUACGGGCUCCUGCGCAAACAUUUUGGCUCAAGCCAUUGCUCCUCAAUGCCCCUAGCUGACUUUUAUUCUACCUUGCCAAAUGACCAAGAGGACCCCUAUGAGUACUGGCUUAGACUGAACAGAGCUGCUGAUGAUGCUGCUAGCUGCCUUAGAGAGCAGGGUAAAACGUUUGACAACCCUAGUGUUGAAGUCACACGUAUGUUCAUCAGACACUGCCCCAGUAGAGAUUUAGCUCUUACCUUUAGAUCAAAGACGAUUGAUAAGUGGUCAGCUCGUGAGGUUCAGGAAGUGCUAGAUGAAUACCACCUAGAGAAGGGACUCAGGUCUUCUACUGAAAGGAGUAGACAAAUCAGCAUGAAUAAAGUCGAGGUUAGCCCUAACACUCCAUUAGUUUCAGACAUCCCAG